AAUAAAAAUUACAUGAGAAUCAUUUAAAGUUAGCAAAUAUUAGAGGCAACAUUAUUGUAAGCAAUGUCAAUUUCCUCCUCUGUCAUUUCAAUUGUUUCAUCACUGUCAUAGUCUCCUGCAACACCGGAGAUGGCAUUGGAUCUCCUAUUGCCAUCCCUCUCAUUUUCAUCAGUCUUCAGCCUUUUAUUCUUCAGCUUAGAAUCAUCACUAACUUUAGUAAGUUCUGCCUCGUACAUUUGUUUGCAUGCUUUGGCCUGUUGACAAAGAUCUUCUUUCGAAAGAGAGGAAGUAUCGACAAGCUUUAUCAGCUCCUCAACUGCACGAGGAAUAACAUUCCACUGUUCGGCUAUUUGUUGGACACCCUGAUUCUGUUCAAGGGCAUCUAUGGCAUCUUGUAAACAAAUUAUGAUCCCUCCAGCAGCUAUUUCUUUUAUUUCACUUGGCUCAGGCUUUUCCUCCCGACUCUCCAGGCAUGAGAUGGUUCUCUUCAGAUCUUCAAUAGCCCAUUCCUUCACUUUCAAACGAGAGAAGUGCUCUUUAGCAGGAUUAGAAUCUCUACUCUGCUAACAUAUAGCACAAGAAACAAAUCAUCAAUGGCAGAUGUAGGAAUUAUGGAAAAAAUGAAUAUAACUUUUGUAAGUACAAACAGUUUUAGUCUCUCAUGGUGGGAGGCUGAGAUAGUGCCAAAGAUUAAACUUCCACUAUAAUGUUAGGGAGAAAUAUAUUAGUGCCCAUUGGUACACUAAUUAUUCAAAAUAACCUUUGAGGAAGCAGAGGCAGUUGGCUUUGAAUGUGAUCCUCUUUCCACUUGUUUCUCAGAUUUUCUAGGUGUGGAUAGCUUUUGAUCUGCAAGCAUUCUUUGUAUUGAGAAGAUACACUUGCUACCAAGACUAAAAGAGGGGGGGGGGGGUGUUGGGGAGCGGACGGGGGUUGGGGGAGUGGGUGUGGGGGUGGUGUGGUGUGGUGGGGAAGUAUAAUAUAUACUAUCAAAUUAAAGCACUUUGAAUAUUGAUUACUGGUCAAGAGGCAGAUCAUCACAUGUGGCUAAGAAAGGAUAUAUUUAUUAAGAACUUGAUUUUAAAAAAAAUAAAAUAAAUUCACAGAUUAAUCACUAAUCACCCAAGACCCUAAGCAACACACCGGGCAUCCAUUAUCAAUAAAGUCAAAAAAUUGCAGAGUAUGGCAAACCAAUUAAUUCUUUGACAAUAAGCAUUAAGAUAUAUUCUUGUAACCUUUCAUAGAAUUUUCAGAAGUUCAAAAGCAAAAUAUUUGAUCCACAUGCAAAGGGACAGAUAGUAUCCUUCCAAAUUUACAAGGCUGGCAACUUGUACAAAUCAUAGUAACACAGUAGGUUCCAUUUUCACAAAAUCCAAAACAUAGUGCUUGUAUAAAAUUUCAUGAUAAUAGCAAUUAGCAAGUAAAUAAUCCAAUAAAUUUGACUUAACGGUUAGAAUUAUAAAAGCAUAUCUGACUACAACAUUCACAAGAAAUGUCAUAUAAAAAGCAAAAGAUGCUAAUUGGGCUCUGUCAAGGCUAUGAAAGCAUAUGGGCCUGUGGGGUGUGGCUACGCUUGGUCUUACACAUGAUAAUUAUAGAAAUAAAUAUAAAGAUAAAGAACAGUAAAUACACUUACUACUACCACUUUCAAUAGUGAAAUUGCUUUUGUGCCACGGUUUCCCAGCAUGCAUCAUGUAAUUAUCAAUAUCAACAAGCUUCUUCUGGCUAUAACAGUCUAAUAUCCAUUCCUUAAGCAAACAAACUAAAUAUCAUGAGAUAAUAACUAAGCAUAACUAGAAAUUUGUUACAAAUUGUAACAGCAUGAGAGCUCAGAUGGCAUUUCCUUUUACAGUACAUACCACUCAAGACACAAAAUAAGGACACAACACUGCUAGGAUGAAAUAUGAAAAGACAAAUGCAGAUUAAACCAAUAAUCCAUAUAGCAGAGAAUCACAAAAAGCCUCGACUUCUAUAAUUUAAGAGCAACACUGGAUUUGUUUGCUUCAAUAGCCAGAAUCUUAGAUAGUUAAGAAUGACAGGGAUAAUGACAGAAGCCACGCCACUAAAAGAAUAUGAACACUCUUUAACACUUAACGAUGUUCAGACUUGUCCAAAGAGUGUAGGCAUCAGUAUAACCAGCAACCUUUAUUGCCAUUAUCACAUUUAUUUGCAUUUGAAAAAGUUUUAUUUUAUUCAGAUCUAUGCCAUCACAAAGAGUUUAUAAAAAAGAAUGAAACAAGAAAAUUCAUAGUUAUGAACAAAUCAGUAAUAAAAGAUACUAUUGACUUACACUUAAUGAACCUUCCAUUAACAAUCUAAAAUGACUUGUCAAUUAUGUUAAAUCUUUUUGCUUUAAAUUCAUUUACUUUAUGAUAACAAGUGCAAACAACAAUAGAGAAACCUUCUUAACAAUUGUUCCACAAUCUGCCUCAACUUGUCGAAACUUAGGAGUAUUUGAAUAUGCACAAACCAAGAGUGUGCACUCUGAACUCCAGUCUGGUCUAUACUCUGCUCCCAUUUCCAGAGCUUGAGACCUCAAGGCUGCACGCUCUGGAUUAACAAACCCUGACAACACAAAUACUACUCCUUCCUGUCCGAAUAAGAAACUCAUACCAUAAUCACCAAUCCAUGAAAAAAUCAAUAAAACAUAAAAGUAUUAAAUUGAACUAUAAAUUGUUAUACCAAAAGUUUUGAAAAGUUCUUUGAAAUUGAAGCAGGGUCCCCAGAUUUUCUGCCACUGAUGGUUCCCUUGGAAGGACUAUUGUCUUUAAUUUCUUGGCUUUCCUCAUUUUUACGAGAGCUAGUUGGCUCCUUUCCACUAGAUUUACUCCCAUUCUCUCUUGAACUCAUCCAAGAAGGAAGAUUUCUCUUUUUAUCACUCUCUCCUUGAUUUGUCUUUGAAUUAGACAUGUCAAAAGACACAAAAAAGGCUUAAACUUAAAACUUACUCCGAAGGUCCUCUAUUGAUUCCACUAAACCUGAACUCCUAUUAGGUUCUUCUUCUUCUUCCGUUUUUCCUUUCCCCGAACUCUGAGAUGGCCAUGCAAGUGCUUAUUGAGGAACGCAUUAGUGAAGUAGCAUUUACUUCAAAAUAAAGUCACCAUGGAAUCUCCCUGAAAGCAUAAAUUACCA
Molecule: unclassified non-coding RNA, 3129 nt
Filed under: Hevea brasiliensis (rubber tree)
Lineage: Eukaryota; Viridiplantae; Streptophyta; Magnoliopsida; Malpighiales; Euphorbiaceae
Source: RNAcentral